AUAGUAUUAACUGGGAUCUAUUUAAUGAUACGCAUAACAUUUAAAAUCAACUACUUGAAUUUAUUGAGUAUAAUAAUAAUUUUAAUUUCUUAUAUUUUAAAUAUUUAAAAAUAAUGAAUCCACAAACUGAAAGGAAUGAUUUGCAUACUCUCGUCUGAGUCGGAACACAUACUGGAAUAAAGAAGUCGGUGCUCAUGUCUGUCCGUCUGUCAAAAAAAACCUCCACAUAUGUAGUCUAAUAUAGCCAAAUAGUCUGUUAGUUUGCCAUUGUCAUCUUUCAUUUCUCCUUUUAUUUUCAAUUAGUUUGCUAAUGACAGGGAGAAAACAAAAAUAGACUUAAGUGGCAUAAAAGGUUAUUUUGAACAAUUUUCCAUUCCGACGGAUGGUAUUUCUGAAGAACAAUUUUGUACGGCAACAAAAUCAUGUGAGAUCUUAUAUUACCGGAAAAUAAAGAAGGUGCAUAUAGGUGUUGUUCUUGAAAAUUUAAAUGUGGGUUUUACACGUCCAAUUUGCGAUUUUGUCGAAAAGUGUGCUACCAAGGAAAACUUGUUCUAUGACGUCAGAUUCAAUGUUUUUAAGUAAGACAACUCUUUUCUUCAAAUCAAACGAAACAAACAUGAAAAUUACUCAUAAAGUUUUUUGAAAGGUCGGUGACAUAUUCAUUUUUUAUAUAUUUGAAGAGUACGCAUGGCACUUUCCUUCUUGAAUUUUUUGUGAAGAAAUCACUGGUAGAUAUUUUCUAAUACUGAAAACGGUUUUCAUUCUUAAGUUGUAUUUUUAACACGAAACUGAGGUUGCUAUAGUGACAAAACUAAGUCCGUGACCCCCA
RNAcentral lists this long non-coding RNA (829 nucleotides) under Mytilus galloprovincialis (Mediterranean mussel). The record is from RNAcentral. Lineage: Eukaryota; Metazoa; Mollusca; Bivalvia; Mytilida; Mytilidae.